CAGAGGGUGCAAGCGUUAUUCGGAAUUAUUGGGCAUAAAGCGCAUGUAGGUGGUUUGAUAAGUCUGAUGUGAAAUCCCCGGACUCAAUUCGGGAAGUGCAUUGGAUACUGUCAGGCUAGAGUAUGGGAGAGGUGAGCGGAAUUCCAGGUGUAGAGGUGAAAUUCGUAGAUAUCUGGAGGAACAACAGAGGCGAAGGCGGCUCACUGGACCAUUACUGACACUGAGAUGCGAAAGCGUGGGGAGCAAACAGGAUUAGAUACCCUGGUAGUCCACGCCGUAAACGAUGGAUACUAGACGUCGGUUGGUCUUACCCGAUCGGUGUCGUAGCUAAUGCGUUAAGUAUCCCGCCUGAGGAGUACGGUCGCAAGAUUA
Molecule: ribosomal RNA, 372 nt
Filed under: uncultured organism
Description: bacterial SSU rRNA
Rfam family: Bacterial small subunit ribosomal RNA
Source: RNAcentral